This is a transfer RNA of Penicillium steckii, 73 nucleotides long. It matches the Rfam family "tRNA". From Rfam's summary of the family: Transfer RNA (tRNA) molecules are approximately 80 nucleotides in length. Their secondary structure includes four short double-helical elements and three loops (D, anti-codon, and T loops). Further hydrogen bonds mediate the characteristic L-shaped molecular structure. tRNAs have two regions of fundamental functional importance: the anti-codon, which is responsible for specific mRNA codon recognition, and the 3' end, to which the tRNAs corresponding amino acid is attached (by aminoacyl-tRNA synthetases). tRNAs cope with the degeneracy of the genetic code in two manners: having more than one tRNA (with a specific anti-codon) for a particular amino acid; and 'wobble' base-pairing, i.e. permitting non-standard base-pairing at the 3rd anti-codon position. The record is from Rfam. NCBI's taxonomy places the organism in Eukaryota, Fungi, Ascomycota, Eurotiomycetes, Eurotiales, Aspergillaceae.
GAUCGACUGGCCCAGUGGUGAAGGCGCCCGUCUUACACACGGGAGAUCGCAGGUUCGAACCCUGCGUCGAUCA